RNAcentral lists this ribosomal RNA (253 nucleotides) under uncultured bacterium. RNAcentral's name for it is "partial 16S ribosomal RNA". It matches the Rfam family "Bacterial small subunit ribosomal RNA", at positions 524 to 776 of the family's 1533-position model. The record is from RNAcentral.
UACGUAAGGUGCAAGCGUUGUCCGGAAUCACUGGGCGUAGAGGGCGCGUAGGCGGUUUGAUAAGUAGAAGGUGAAAGAUUCGAGCUCAACUCGAAAACUGCCUUCUAAACUGUCUUACUUGAGGGUCUGAGGGGAAACUGGAAUUCACGGUGUAGCGGUGAAAUUCGUAGAUAUUCGCAAGAACACCAGUGGCGAAGGCGGCUCACUGGCCCGAUACUGACGCUGAGGCACGAAAGCGUGGGGAGCAAACAGG